This 279-nucleotide ribosomal RNA is filed under the name uncultured bacterium. Its description in RNAcentral is "partial 16S ribosomal RNA". It matches the Rfam family "Bacterial small subunit ribosomal RNA", at positions 506 to 784 of the family's 1533-position model. The record is from RNAcentral.
UGCCAGCCGCCGCGGUAAUACGGAGGGGGCUAGCGUUGUUCGGAAUUACUGGGCGUAAAGCGCGCGUAGGCGGAUUGAUCAGUUGGGGGUGAAAUCCCGAGGCUUAACCUCGGAACUGCCCUCAAUACUGUCAGUCUAGAGUUCGGAAGAGGUAAGUGGAGUUCCUAGUGUAGAGGUGAAAUUCGUAGAUAUUAGGAAGAACACCAGUGGCGAAGGCGGCUUACUGGUCCGAUACUGACGCUGAGGUGCGAAAGCGUGGGGAGCAAACAGGAUUAGAUA